GGUAUGAUGGCUGAGUUUAAGCGGUAGAUUGUAAAUCUAUAAACGGAGAUUAUCUUCUCUUGCC
Molecule: transfer RNA, 64 nt
Filed under: Neoperlops gressitti
Lineage: Eukaryota; Metazoa; Arthropoda; Insecta; Plecoptera; Perlidae
Description: tRNA-Tyr
Rfam family: tRNA
About the family: Transfer RNA (tRNA) molecules are approximately 80 nucleotides in length. Their secondary structure includes four short double-helical elements and three loops (D, anti-codon, and T loops). Further hydrogen bonds mediate the characteristic L-shaped molecular structure. tRNAs have two regions of fundamental functional importance: the anti-codon, which is responsible for specific mRNA codon recognition, and the 3' end, to which the tRNAs corresponding amino acid is attached (by aminoacyl-tRNA synthetases). tRNAs cope with the degeneracy of the genetic code in two manners: having more than one tRNA (with a specific anti-codon) for a particular amino acid; and 'wobble' base-pairing, i.e. permitting non-standard base-pairing at the 3rd anti-codon position.
Source: RNAcentral